GACAGAGGGUGCAAACGUUGUUCGGAAUUACUGGGCGUAAAGCUCGUGUAGGCGGCUUUGCAAGUCGGGCGUGAAAUCCCACGGCUCAACCGUGGAAGUGCACUCGAAACUGCAGAGCUAGAGUCCUGGAGAGGAAGGUGGAAUGCUUGGUGUAGAGGUGAAAUUCGUAGAUAUCAAGCGGAACACCGGUGGCGAAGGCGGCCUUCUGGACAGUGACUGACGCUGAGACGCGAAAGCGUGGGGAGCAAACAGG
This 253-nucleotide ribosomal RNA is filed under the name uncultured bacterium. Its description in RNAcentral is "partial 16S ribosomal RNA". It matches the Rfam family "Bacterial small subunit ribosomal RNA", at positions 524 to 776 of the family's 1533-position model. The record is from RNAcentral.